This 439-nucleotide ribosomal RNA is filed under the name uncultured bacterium. RNAcentral's name for it is "partial 16S ribosomal RNA". It matches the Rfam family "Bacterial small subunit ribosomal RNA", at positions 339 to 795 of the family's 1533-position model. The record is from RNAcentral.
CUACGGGACGCUGCAGUGAGGAAUAUUGCACAAUGGGGGGAACCCUGAUGCAGCAACGCCGCGUGGAGGAUGACGCAUUUCGGUGUGUAAACUCCUUUUAUAUGUCAAGAAAAUGACGGUAGCAUAUGAAUAAGCACCGGCUAACUCCGUGCCAGCAGCCGCGGUAAUACGGAGGGUGCAAGCGUUACUCGGAAUCACUGGGCGUAAAGGACGCGUAGGCGGGUUGGAAAGUCGGGUGUGAAAUCCUACAGCUUAACUGUAGAACUGCACUUGAAACUUCUAAUCUAGAGUAUGGGAGGGGGAGAUGGAAUUAGUGGUGUAGGGGUAAAAUCCGUAGAUAUCACUAGGAAUACCUAAAGCGAAGGCGAUCUCCUGGAACAUUACUGACGCUAAGGCGUGAAAGCGUGUGGAGCAAACAGGAUUAGAUACCCGCGUAGUC